RNAcentral lists this ribosomal RNA (433 nucleotides) under uncultured bacterium. RNAcentral's name for it is "partial 16S ribosomal RNA". It matches the Rfam family "Bacterial small subunit ribosomal RNA", at positions 29 to 507 of the family's 1533-position model. The record is from RNAcentral.
AGCGAACGCUGGCGGCAGGCUUAACACAUGCAAGUCGAGCGGGCCCUUCGGGGUCAGCGGCCGACGGGUGAGUAACACGUGGGAACGUACCCUUUGGUUCGGAAUAACGCUGGGAAACUAGCGCUAAUACCGGAUACGCCCUUUUGGGGAAAGGCUUGCUGCCGAAGGAUCGUCCCGCGUCUGAUUAGCUAGUUGGUGGGGUAAUGGCCUACCAAGGCGACGAUCAGUAGCUGGUCUGAGAGGAUGAUCAGCCACACUGGGACUGAGACACGGCCCAGACUCCUACGGGAGGCAGCAGUGGGGAAUAUUGGAAAAUGGGCGCAAGCCUGAUCCAGCCAUGCCGCGUGAGUGAUGAAGGCCUUAGGGUUGUAAAGCUCUUUUGUCCGGGACGAUAAUGACGGUACCGGAAGAAUAAGCCCCGGCUAACUUCGUG